Oryza sativa Japonica Group (Japanese rice) is the source of this 203-nucleotide microRNA precursor. It matches the Rfam family "MIR812 microRNA precursor family". NCBI's taxonomy places the organism in Eukaryota, Viridiplantae, Streptophyta, Magnoliopsida, Poales, Poaceae. The record is from Rfam.
UUUAAAUGCAGCAUGAGUUUUCGUGUCUAACUUUUAUCGUCCGUCUUAUUUAAAAAAAAUUAUGAUUAAUAUUUUUAUUAUUAUCAGAUGAUGAAACAUGAAUAGUGCUUUGCGUGAUUUAUGUUUUUUAUUUCUUUUCAAAAAAAAUUUCAAAUAAAACAAACGGUUAAAGUUGGAUUCGGAAACUCAUGGCUGCACUUAAA